Molecule: transfer RNA, 69 nt
Organism: Nipponia nippon (crested ibis)
Lineage: Eukaryota; Metazoa; Chordata; Aves; Pelecaniformes; Threskiornithidae
Rfam family: tRNA
About the family: Transfer RNA (tRNA) molecules are approximately 80 nucleotides in length. Their secondary structure includes four short double-helical elements and three loops (D, anti-codon, and T loops). Further hydrogen bonds mediate the characteristic L-shaped molecular structure. tRNAs have two regions of fundamental functional importance: the anti-codon, which is responsible for specific mRNA codon recognition, and the 3' end, to which the tRNAs corresponding amino acid is attached (by aminoacyl-tRNA synthetases). tRNAs cope with the degeneracy of the genetic code in two manners: having more than one tRNA (with a specific anti-codon) for a particular amino acid; and 'wobble' base-pairing, i.e. permitting non-standard base-pairing at the 3rd anti-codon position.
Source: Rfam
AAGGCCCUAGCUCAAUUAAAGCACCUGGGUUGCAUUCAGGAGAUGUAGGUUAGCAUCCUACGGGUCUUA